RNAcentral lists this ribosomal RNA (459 nucleotides) under uncultured bacterium. RNAcentral describes it as "partial 16S ribosomal RNA". It matches the Rfam family "Bacterial small subunit ribosomal RNA", at positions 338 to 795 of the family's 1533-position model. The record is from RNAcentral.
CCUACGGGAGGCAGCAGUGAGGAAUAUUGGUCAAUGGCCGGAAGGCUGAACCAGCCAAAUCGCGUGAGGGACGACUGCCCUAUGGGUUGUAAAUCUCUUUUAUAAGGGAAGAAUAAAUGCUACGUUUAGCCUGAUGCCUGUACCUUACGAAUAAGCAUCGGCUAACUCCGUGCCAGCAGCCGCGGUAAUACGGAGGAUGCGAGCGUUAUCCGGAUUUAUUGUGCUUAAGGGGUACGGAGGCGGUUUUUUAGGUUAGUGGUUAAACGUCGGGGCUUCACCUUGAUUUGCCAUUAAUACUGUAAGACUCGAGUUCAGACGAGGUAGGCGGAAUAAGUUAUGUAGCGGUGAAAUGCUUAGAUAUGACUAAGAACUCCGAUAGCGAAGGCAGCUUACCAGACUGCGACUGACGCUGAGGCACGAGAGCGUGGGUAGCGAACAGGAUUAGAUACCCGGGUAGUC